RNAcentral lists this long non-coding RNA (2088 nucleotides) under Homo sapiens (human). Its description in RNAcentral is "HSALNT0206817". The record is from RNAcentral. Lineage: Eukaryota; Metazoa; Chordata; Mammalia; Primates; Hominidae.
GCACACAUUGAAGCUUCCUUUCCAGGGAAAGAAAAAGGCCACAUUUCUGGGGAAAAAAAAAAAACUUGAAAAAUAACCAAGCACUCGCUGCACAUAAAACAGCUGCUGCGUGCAGACCACUUGGUGCAGCCACGACGCGGGGGAGAGUGAAGACGGGCAAUUCCGGGGCGGUCGUGUCAUCUUUCUGGGUGAGUACACACGUGACACCGAGAGAAGAGAAAGUGGUUUCCCAGGUUGGCGGCACCAGCACGUUGCCAGGCAAUGAGCCAAGACCGAGGGCUCAGACAAAAGACAGAGCGGCCGACUGGGCUCAGCGGACACACAGCGCAGAGCCAGCUGCUGGCUGGGAGGACGCCCUGCAGCCUCGCAGGGAACGUGGGCUCCGGCUUCCAGAGGGCAGCGCCAUUCGCUCACAGACGGCCAGGAGACCCUCCCUGUGCAGGCAAUGCCGGGUGAGGCAUCGCUCCUGAAGAAUUAAUCAGAAACUCAGAAAAAUUCCGCCGAGCAGAAGCCAGAUGAGAAUCCGACUGGAAAUCUAGAAGGAAUCUGACCAGCAUCGCAAAGAAGGGGAGGAGCUGAGUGGGAAGGCAGCCUCAGGGAGCUUCCCCGGAAAGAUGGGCCUGCUCAUUCCAUCCCCGACAGGACUGUCAGUCAUUUCACAACCACGGCUGCUGAUGAAGACAAUCAAACAGCAGCAACCUUCUGAGGUCAAGACAGUGCUGGGCGUCUCUCGGAGUCACUCCCCUAUCUUUUCGUCUGUUCUCUCAGGACAGCUUGGUGACGUUGCUAAGGAAGGAAUUUGUGAAAAUGAGGAAGCGGCCCCAGAAUCCUUGUUGUUUUUCCCCAAACCUGGCUACUGGUGGUCAGAGUGACCUUGAGGUGCCUCACAGGGUUGUUCCAGGUGGCCCAGGUCUGCACCCUCUGACCCAUGGCCGACCAUCUCCAUGGCCUGUAAAGGUGCUUCUCUUAGGUGCCACCCAAGUGCCACGGCAGUGUCAGAGGGAGGCCCAUAGCCAGCCUCCUGAGUCAGAGCCUUUGGGCUGGGACCGGGGCAAGCACAUUUUUAGAAAGUUCCUCCAGGACACGUUUGGUGGAGCUCAUCCAUAAUGCUCUCUGGACAACCUUUGGACUAAGUAACUUUCCUAAAGUCUCUCAACUCAGUGGCCACCACCUUAGAACUGGGAACUGUCCCUCAAUGCCCACUCAGAUCCAACCAACUUAUACGAGCUUCUUGGAUGCGAAUGAAAACCUCGUGAAUUGCCCAGCAAGUUGACAUUCCUUUCUAGAUCCAGCACAUACAACUCUCUCCAGGUGAGCACAAAGAAAGAAGAGAUUUGAAGUCAGCGAGGUGCGUUUUAUUGGUUCAAAAGGGGAGGUUAUUUUUUAAAGGCUUAUGGAAAAAGGUAGCUAUGUUUGUUCUCUCAAAUAAUCACAUAAAGACCCUGCUAACAUUUCUGGUACAACAACCCUGCCGUGGUUAAUUUCCAGACAAUGAAAGGUGAGAAGGCUGGAAAGGAAACCGAAUCCUGCAGUGUCUAAUCAAUUUUAAUAGAAUCCGCUAAUUGAAUCAUCCACAUCCUUUAAAAAGAGACAUGGAAAUCAUGGAAGCAAGCCUCUGUUUUGGUGCAUUCUUCAUCCCUCAUGGCAUGUCAAAAAAAUUGAAUUUCUCACAGUGGAGAAAGAGUCUGUCAAAGUUAACUUUACCUGGAACUAAUAAAUUAUUAUAUUUCAUCCAAAGGGUUUCCAAUAAGUAGUUAUUCAAAGACUCAAUUUUUCAAUUAAUGUCUCCAAAUGCUUUUCUGAUCAUAAUUUUCCUAGUACAUUUUCAUGUUUGCUUCUCACUAUUGUCUUUGUGAGGAGUGUUGGAAAUUCCCAAGCUGGGGCAACCCCCAGGCUUCUCCCUCCAACCCCUCUCUCACUUGGACUCAGGCUUCCCCAGGGAGCAGACUCAGGGCGCACUGAGGGCAGGAGGAGAUGCUGGCAGCCCCUCAGGGUGGAGGCCACCCUGGAACCUUGACCUAGGGAGUCAGUAGUCUGUGGUGUCAGAAGGUGGCAUUAGAUCAGAGGGCUCAGGAAUCCAUAGUCAAG